This is a long non-coding RNA of Phycodurus eques (leafy seadragon), 1863 nucleotides long. RefSeq lists it as uncharacterized. Lineage: Eukaryota; Metazoa; Chordata; Actinopteri; Syngnathiformes; Syngnathidae. The transcript has 3 exons. The record is from RefSeq and is a predicted model, not a curated record.
CUUUUCCACUGACGAAGAAAGCGGAGCAGCUUUGAUUUGGAGCAAGCAGAGAGGACCAGGACAGUGCUACGACGUCAGCUUCCUUUACCUUCCAAGGAUUCAGUCAUAAAAAUCUAAAAAGUUCUCCUGUGUCAUUUUGAUCUUGUAGGACACAGUUGUGUUGGGUAUAUCCGAAUCGAUGAUGAUUCCCGAAAUUGAUACCAGGACAAAGACGUAGGUAAUCAAAACGUCACUAUCUGAUCAAUACAGAAAUAUCAAAACUAGGAUACCAGCCCGGUAUCCUGGUAUUGGUUCCAGGUUGUGCAAUCGCUUUGGACAAAAACAUCAAUAAUUGAACAUUUAAUGUUUUUAAAUUAUCAGCUCAAAUUCUGAUAAUUCUUCAAUCAAAAAAACAAAAAAAUUAAUUGUGUAAUGUAUUGAUAUUGGAUUGAUAAAACAAAUAUAACUACUACUAGAAUCUAAACCCAAGACAGAAACAUUGAUAAUUACAUUGCAAAUUUAGCCGCACGGUGGCCGACUGGUUAGAGCGUCAGCCUCGCAGUUCUGAGGACCCGGGUUCAACGUACCGCUAUCGAUUUUGGAAAGAUAUAGAAAUGUUGAUAGUGAAAAAUAGCCUUCCCAAUACUAAAAUCAAAAAGAUAUUUAUAAUGAAACUUUUAAAACGUUUGGGUUUCGGUAUUUCAUCGAGAGAAAUACUGACACUGUGAUAUCAGCCUUCCUGAGCCUGCAAUGGCUGACAUUUGUUUUUAAUUAGCCCUCAGAAGGACUUCAAGUAAACACUGACAUGUGGAAAAGUGUCCAGUCAAGUUUUUAAUCACAGCUGAUUGUCUACAACCCGGUUCCCUUUUUCUUUCGUCUUUUUUUUAAACAGGGGAACCUCUAAAACUUCCAUACACUGCUUGCUCCACUUGUUCCGAUUUGAAACUUUUACCCCACAGGAAAUAAUGGGGAAAAAAAAUAGGUCAAAUUGUCUCUAUCUUUGAACAUUUAUCUGCAUAGGCAAAGUUCAAAAUCACUUUUUAACAUUCUUAAUUGUCAGCUAGUGUAAAAAUAUGUUCACCGCUGUUAACAUUACAACAUAAAAACAAUGUCUAUUUUUUUUUUAACAUUCUUUGUCUCCCGAAUGUAAAAAUAAGUAAAACAGUCAACAUUAAAACAGCAAAAUAAAGAAACGUAUUUGGAACUCACAAAUCUUUCAUUUGUUUAGUACUUGUCACGAAUGUGUAAAAACAAGUUAGCCAAGGUUGUUAAUAAAACUGAAACAUUUGUUUAUGUUUUGCAUGAUCACUCAAGUGGAAACAAAAUAAGUUAACCACCGUUAAUACUAACACAAAAAAACAGUAAAACACAUUUGCGGCAACGCAACUAGCGCAUCGCAUUGCUUACGUUCAUUGUUGAUCAAGUGUAACCAUAAGGGAAUCUAUGUUGAUAUAACAAUGAAUAAAAUGAAAAAUAUUUUAGCGGCAAGAUGGGUGACUGGUUCGCACAUCUGCCUCACAAUUCUGAGAACUUGGGUUGAAAUGGAGUUUGCAUGUUCUCCCCGUGCCGGCGUGGGUUUUCUCCGGGUGCGCCGGCUUCAAUUUUCAGGUGUGACGCACUUUUUUCGCCCCGUUUUACUUUCAUUAUCAUUUUUCUUACUACAAUGUCUUUGAUCAUCUAUCUAUGCCAGCGACGCAUAAUGAAAGACAGAACGAUUAAAUGCUCUUGCACUAGAUGGCAGCAAGUACAAUGAACCCGUGUACCCACAUGCUGCCAUUCAUACACACGUAUAAAGCUAUUCAAGUCAACAGAUUUCACAGUACAUUUGUAAAUUGAGAUGAGAUCAUUAUUUCAGUAUUCAGUCAUUUUUGUUGGGGUGUUGUG